This is a long non-coding RNA of Cannabis sativa, 1612 nucleotides long. RefSeq lists it as uncharacterized. The record is from RefSeq and is a predicted model, not a curated record. The transcript has 3 exons. Lineage: Eukaryota; Viridiplantae; Streptophyta; Magnoliopsida; Rosales; Cannabaceae.
UAGAUCACCUAUUCACUGGGAUGAGGUAGGUGAAAGAAAGUUCUUGGGUCCCGAGGCUGUUCAGAGAACAAGUGAGGCAGUUGAUAAAAUUAGAGCGCGAAUGCUCGCGGCUCAGAGCAGACAGAAGAGUUAUGCUGAUCCAAAGCGACGGGAUAUUAAUUUUCAGAUCGGGGACAUGGUGUUUCUCCGAAUAUCGCCGAUGAAAGGCAUCAAGCGCUUUGGUAAGAAAGGAAAACUUAGCCCCAGGUUCAUUGGACCUUUUGAAAUCCUUGAGAGGAUAGGGCAAGUAGCGUACAGGUUGGCUAUGCCCCCAGCGCUGGCAGCUGUACAUGAUGUGUUCCAUGUUUCGAUGCUUCGAAAAUAUGUCUCAGAUUCGUCCCAUAUCCUGAGUUAUGAAGCAUUAGAACUACAACCAGAUUUAUCAUAUGAGGAACAACCGGUGCAAAUACUUGACAGAAGGGAGAAAGUCUUGAGAAACAAGACAAUUGCACUGGUGAAAGUGUUAUGGAGGAACAGUAAAGUAGAAGAGGCAACCUGGGAACUCGAGACGGAUAUGCAGCAGAAAUAUCCAGAGUUGUUUAGGUAAAUUUCGGGACGAAAUUUCUAUAAGGAAGGGGUAAUUGUAAUACCCUGGAAUUAAGGAAAUGGAUUAGCAAAGCCCUAACUAGUUAAUUGAGUAUUAUUGUAGAAUUAUAUUAUAUUAUAAUUUAUUAUAUGCGAAUUAAUAUGAGAAAUGACAUGUUAAGACCCCGUUGGUGAGUUAGGGGCAUUUUAGUAAUUUUGACCCGAGAAGGGUAAAACUGUGAAUUUAAUUUAUUUAUGUGCUUAUGAACUAUAUUAUUAUAUAGUAUAUCUGGCGUGUCUUUUUUUCAGGUGUGUUCUGACAAGUUGGCGCGGUAUAGUCACAAUCGGGUAUUUCGGGCUGAACCGGGUUCGGGGCCGAAAUAUAAUUUUGGGAUAAAUUAUUGGCAUUUUAUUUAUGUGUGAAUAAUCUGAAAUUAUUUAAAUAUGUGUUAUAUAUGAAAUGAAUUCAAUGCCCUUGAUUGUUUGAGUAUGUGAGAAAUGGCCCUAGGGGCAAAAUGGUAAAUUGUAUUUUUGGAUUUAUUUUCAACUAAAGGCAUUAUUUGUAAAAAAAUGAAAUUCAUUUUCUGCAUUUACCUUAACCCUAAAACAGCCCCCUUCCCUCUCUCUCUCUCUAUCUCUCUUUGUAUUUGGUUGAAAAAUUGGUGAUUUGCUUGGUAUUCAAGCUUGAAAUUGAAGAAUUGUUUGAGGAGUUGUGGCUUGAUCAUUGCAUUGAAGCUUGAGGAUUACCGGUACUUGGUCAGGAGCACCCGGGGAUUUGGAAUCUCCAUAUUUGUGGGACAUCAGGAAAGGGUAAAUCUAUCUCUGAUCAGCCAUGAGUAUGGGAGUUGGGCGAUGUAUGUACAUGUUCGGGCCACACUAGACCAAGCGGGUUAGGGUCUACCUGCGUUGAAACUUUUGUAACUCUAUUUUUGCCGCUUAGGUCGGCUAAGGAGAAAAGACUUGUAAUAUUUUGUAAAAUGAUUUUUUUGGGAUCCCGAAACAUGUAACUUUUGUUUGUAAGGUUAAAAUUAUUACAAGUUUAUUUUCA